AUUUGUUUGCUUUUGUUUAAAACAGUGCACACACUCAUGCCAAUGAUAAGCCUGUAUGCAUCUAUAUGAACGCUGUUGUGGCGCUUGACACAAGCCUGUACUCAAAAACAAAAGUGCGCACAUAUCUAUGCCACUGUUUAGCCUGUUAAUAUACCAGUGUACGCUGUUGUGGCGUUUGUCAAUGUUUUUGUACUCACCUGCGCAAC
Pelobates cultripes (western spadefoot toad) is the source of this 206-nucleotide non-coding RNA. NCBI's taxonomy places the organism in Eukaryota, Metazoa, Chordata, Amphibia, Anura, Pelobatidae. The record is from the annotation of a GenBank genome assembly.